RNAcentral lists this ribosomal RNA (254 nucleotides) under uncultured bacterium. RNAcentral describes it as "partial 16S ribosomal RNA". It matches the Rfam family "Bacterial small subunit ribosomal RNA", at positions 524 to 776 of the family's 1533-position model. The record is from RNAcentral.
CACGUAGGGGGCAAGCGUUGUCCGGAUUUAUUGGGCGUAAAGAGCUCGUAGGUGGCUUAGUAAGUCGGGUGUGAAACCUCCAGGCUCAACCUGGAGACGCCACCCGAUACUGCUAUAGCUUGAGUCCGGUAGGGGAGCGUGGAAUUCCUGGUGUAGCGGUGAAAUGCGCAGAUAUCAGGAAGAACACCCGUGGCGAAGGCGGCUCUCUGGGACGGUACUGACGCUGAGACGCGAAAGCGUGGGGAGCGAACAGG